CAUCUUGCGCAGUGGCAAUAUCGUAACCAAUGAAGGUCUCCUGAGGUGCGAUUAUUGCUAGUUAAGAACUAUAUGUAUAAGCCUUCUACUUCAAGAAGAAGACUUGUUCCUACACAUUAUUAUUU
Non-coding RNA from Rhodnius prolixus, 125 nucleotides. NCBI's taxonomy places the organism in Eukaryota, Metazoa, Arthropoda, Insecta, Hemiptera, Reduviidae. The record is from Rfam.